GAUGAACGCUGGCGGCGUGCCUAAUACAUGCAAGUCGAGCGAACGGACGAGAAGCUUGCUUCUCCGAUGUUAGCGGCGGACGGGUGAGUAACACGUGGAUAACCUACCUAUAAGACUGGGAUAACUUCGGGAAACCGGAGCUAAUACCGGAUAAUAUUUUGAACCGCAUGGUUCAAAAGUGAAAGACGGUCUUGCUGUCACUUAUCGAUGGAUCCGCGCUGCAUUAGCUAGUUGGUAAGGUAACGGCUUACCAAGGCAACGAUGCAUAGCCGACCUGAGAGGGUGAUCGGCCACACUGGAACUGAGACACGGUCCAGACUCCUACGGGAGGCAGCAGUAGGGAAUCUUCCGCAAUGGGCGAAAGCCUGACGGAGCAACGCCGCGUGAGUGAUGAAGGUCUUCGGAUCGUAAAACUCUGUUAUUAGGGAAGAACAUAUGUGUAAGUAACUGUGCACAUCUUGACGGUACCUAAUCAGAAAGCCACGGCUAACUACGUG
Molecule: ribosomal RNA, 497 nt
Filed under: uncultured bacterium
Lineage: Bacteria
Description: partial 16S ribosomal RNA
Rfam family: Bacterial small subunit ribosomal RNA
Source: RNAcentral